Molecule: ribosomal RNA, 529 nt
Filed under: Salmonella enterica
Lineage: Bacteria; Pseudomonadati; Pseudomonadota; Gammaproteobacteria; Enterobacterales; Enterobacteriaceae
Description: partial 23S ribosomal RNA
Rfam family: Bacterial large subunit ribosomal RNA
Source: RNAcentral
AGGGCGGGACACGUGGUAUCCUGUCUGAAUAUGGGGGGACCAUCCUCCAAGGCUAAAUACUCCUGACUGACCGAUAGUGAACCAGUACCGUGAGGGAAAGGCGAAAAGAACCCCGGCGAGGGGAGUGAAAAAGAACCUGAAACCGUGUACGUACAAGCAGUGGGAGCCCCACCACUAAGCCAGUGGUGAACUCCACAUACGCAUCCUUUGCUGAGGAUACGGUUAACGGAGCGAAAGCGACGUUCAACCUCAAAAGAAGCAGAGGGGGCUUAGUGGUGGGGUGACUGCGUACCUUUUGUAUAAUGGGUCAGCGACUUAUAUUCUGUAGCAAGGUUAACCGUAUAGGGGAGCCGGAGGGAAACCGAGUCUUAACCGGGCGUUAAGUUGCAGGGUAUAGACCCGAAACCCGGUGAUCUAGCCAUGGGCAGGUUGAAGGUUGGGUAACACUAACUGGAGGACCGAACCGACUAAUGUUGAAAAAUUAGCGGAUGACCUGUGGCUGGGGGUGAAAGGCCAAUCAAACCGGGAG